CUCAUGGAAAAACUAUCUUACUUAUUGGCAAGGCUGUCCCCUUUAGUUUGUAUCAGAUUCUGGUUUGCACAAGUAACAGUC
This is a small nucleolar RNA of Peromyscus maniculatus bairdii (prairie deer mouse), 81 nucleotides long. Ensembl annotates it as predicted gene, 23012. Lineage: Eukaryota; Metazoa; Chordata; Mammalia; Rodentia; Cricetidae. The record is from Ensembl.